UACGUAGGGUGCAAGCGUUAAUCGGAAUUACUGGGCGUAAAGCGUGCGCAGGCGGCUUUGCAAGACAGAUGUGAAAUCCCCGGGCUUAACCUGGGAACUGCAUUUGUGACUGCAUGGCUAGAGUGCGGCAGAGGGGGAUGGAAUUCCGCGUGUAGCAGUGAAAUGCGUAGAUAUGCGGAGGAACACCGAUAGCGAAGGCAAUCCCCUGGGCCUGCACUGACGCUCAUGCACGAAAGCGUGGGGAGCAAACAGG
RNAcentral lists this ribosomal RNA (253 nucleotides) under uncultured bacterium. RNAcentral describes it as "partial 16S ribosomal RNA". It matches the Rfam family "Bacterial small subunit ribosomal RNA", at positions 524 to 776 of the family's 1533-position model. The record is from RNAcentral.